UGCAGUAUUCUAAUGACAACUCUGAUACCAUAUAUCAAGUGUUCACGUUCCCAUGAAGGGCAGUUUCACUUUCUCAAAUUUGACUACACAUGCAGAUGAGAUAUAGAUUGAAACAAACCUUUCGGUAAUACUCUCUUUAAGGCUCACUCAAACAAUAGCUGAUAAUCCCCCUCCCUUCCUCUUUGGACAUAAUAUUUCACACGACAAGAGCCGAACGAUCUUUGUACAGACUCGCUUAUUGCAAAAGAAAAUGAAAGAACAGGGAUCGGAUGACACUCUGCACAAUCUAAUCAAUUAUGAAGUGGAUUGGGUCCGCACGGGACAAGUCUGCGCGAUACCACAUGCAUCGAGCCAUGUUUCUCGCCCCCGGAUUUGGCAGAGUUGUGAAUCGAAGAGAAGCUCUGGAAGAUAGACGAAUACUUUGCCCACAAUCUUUGUUGGCUCACUCGAUCGGCAGCUUCAUUAAUCUGACGGGCGCUGGUAACUUGGAACAGAGCUGAUAUCACGAAGAUCAUGACAAGCAGAAGAUGGGAACUGUAAGCUUUCAUGUUCUCGAGGUCGGGAAAGACUCGGAAAUAGUAUACCGAUUGAAUGAUAGGUUGGUAGAGGUUUGAAUGCUUUGGCAGCUUCAAGAGGCUAGUCUAUGUACAAUGGACCAGCCUCGGUUGAGUUAUAUAGUGCAGGCAAAUCUCAGUUGCAAUUAAUAAUGAAUUUGGUGAGAAUUGAGAGAUGGUGAUCAAAGAUGGCUCAGCACCAAGAAGAAGA
RNAcentral lists this long non-coding RNA (765 nucleotides) under Eucalyptus grandis. RNAcentral describes it as "long non-coding RNA (EGRA_LNC006222)". The record is from RNAcentral. Lineage: Eukaryota; Viridiplantae; Streptophyta; Magnoliopsida; Myrtales; Myrtaceae.